RNAcentral lists this ribosomal RNA (807 nucleotides) under uncultured bacterium. Its description in RNAcentral is "bacterial SSU rRNA". It matches the Rfam family "Bacterial small subunit ribosomal RNA", at positions 62 to 833 of the family's 1533-position model. The record is from RNAcentral.
UCGAACGAGUUCUCGUUGAAUCUCGGUGCUUGCACCGAGAUUCAACAUGGAACGAGUGGCGGACGGGUGAGUAACACGUGGGUAACCAGCCCUUAAGUGGGGGAUAACAUUUGGAAACAGAUGCUAAUACCGCAUAGAUCCAAGAACCGCAUGGUUCUUGGCUGAAAGAUGGCGUAAGCUAUCGCUUUUGGAUGGACCCGCGGCGUAUUAGCUAGUUGGUGAGGUAAUGGCUCACCAAGGCGAUGAUACGUAGCCGAACUGAGAGGUUGAUCGGCCACAUUGGGACUGAGACACGGCCCAAACUCCUACGGGAGGCAGCAGUAGGGAAUCCUCCACAAUGGACGCAAGUCUGAUGGAGCAACGCCGCGUGAGUGAAGAAGGCUUUCGGGUCGUAAAACUCUGUUGUUGGAGAAGAAUGGUCGGCAGAGUAACUGUUGUCGGCGUGACGGUAUCCAACCAGAAAGCCACGGCUAACUACGUGCCAGCAGCCGCGGUAAUACGUAGGUGGCAAGCGUUAUCCGGAUUUAUUGGGCGUAAAGCGAGCGCAGGCGGUUUUUUAAGUCUGAUGUGAAAGCCCUCGGCUUAACCGAGGAAGCGCAUCGGAAACUGGGAAACUUGAGUGCAGAAGAGGACAGUGGAACUCCAUGUGUAGCGGUGAAAUGCGUAGAUAUAUGGAAGAACACCAGUGGCGAAGGCGGCUGUCUGGUCUGUAACUGACGCUGAGGCUCGAAAGCAUGGGUAGCGAACAGGAUUAGAUACCCUGGUAGUCCAUGCCGUAAACGAUGAAUGCUAGGUGUUGGAGGGUUU